CGGAAAACUGAAACACACUACUGGUACCUGCACGUGUCCCAAAAAAUCCCAAAUCAGACCUAGGGUCCCUUUUGGCCAAUAUCGAAAUUCCGGCACGGCGGCUCCGCCAUGCUCCGGCGACGUGAACCAUUAACAUUAAUAACCUGAUUUCAGGGUCGUCCCCGUACCCCGUCUGGUAUGGGGGCCAAGACCAUAAACCUCAAUACCCCAUCCGGUAUGAGGGUGAAAUGGGCCGUCUCCAUACCCCGUCCG
This 252-nucleotide long non-coding RNA is filed under the name Carica papaya (papaya). RNAcentral's name for it is "long non-coding RNA (CPAP_LNC015708)". The record is from RNAcentral. Lineage: Eukaryota; Viridiplantae; Streptophyta; Magnoliopsida; Brassicales; Caricaceae.